GUGAGUCAUCGAAUCUUUGAACGCACCUUGCGCUCCUUGGUAUUCCGAGGAGCAUGCCUGUUUGAGUGUCAGUAACUUCUCAAGCCCUGCAAAGUUUCAUCUUUGUUGGGACUUGGAUUGUGGAGGUUUUUGCAGGCCUUUGUUAGGUCGGCUCCUCUUAAAUACAUUAGCGGAACUGUUUGUGGUCCGUCACAGGUGUGAUAAUUAUCUACGCCAGUGGGCUACUCUCUGUCGUUCAGCUUCCAACUGUCCCACUUUAUGUGGACAACUAUAACUGAAUGUUUGACCUCAAAUCAGGUAGGACUACCCGCUGAACUUAAGCAUAUCAAUAAGCGGAGGA
RNAcentral lists this unclassified non-coding RNA (340 nucleotides) under Leucoagaricus sp. RNAcentral's name for it is "partial contains 5.8S ribosomal RNA, internal transcribed spacer 2, and large subunit ribosomal RNA". The stretch from base 1 to 71 matches the Rfam family "5.8S ribosomal RNA", at positions 84 to 154 of the family's 154-position model. Lineage: Eukaryota; Fungi; Basidiomycota; Agaricomycetes; Agaricales; Agaricaceae. The record is from RNAcentral.